RNAcentral lists this ribosomal RNA (497 nucleotides) under uncultured bacterium. Its description in RNAcentral is "partial 16S ribosomal RNA". It matches the Rfam family "Bacterial small subunit ribosomal RNA", at positions 28 to 507 of the family's 1533-position model. The record is from RNAcentral.
GAUGAACGCUGGCGGCGUGCCUAAUACAUGCAAGUCGAGCGAACGGACGAGAAGCUUGCUUCUCUGAUGUUAGCGGCGGACGGGUGAGUAACACGUGGAUAACCUACCUAUAAGACUGGGAUAACUUCGGGAAACCGUAGCUAAUACCGGAUAAUAUUUUGAACCGCAUGGUUCAAAAGUGAAAGACGGUCUUCCUGUCACUUAUAGAUGGAUCCGCGCUGCAUUAGCUAGUUGGUAAGGUAACGGCUUACCAAGGCAACGAUGCAUAGCCGACCUGAGAGGGUGAUCGGCCACACUGGAACUGAGACACGGUCCAGACUCCAACGGGAGGCAGCAGUAGGGAAUCUUCCGCAAUGGGCGAAAGCCUGACGGAGCAACGCCGCGUGAGUGAUGAAGGUCUUCGGAUCGUAAAACCCUGUUAUUAGGGAAGAACAUAUGUGUAAGUAACUGUGCACAUCUUGACGGUACCUAAUCAGAAAGCCACGGCUAACUACGUG